RNAcentral lists this ribosomal RNA (921 nucleotides) under uncultured bacterium. RNAcentral's name for it is "bacterial SSU rRNA". It matches the Rfam family "Bacterial small subunit ribosomal RNA", at positions 542 to 1459 of the family's 1533-position model. The record is from RNAcentral.
UAAUCGGAAUUACUGGGCGUAAGGAGCACGUAGGUGGUUUAUUAAGUCAGAUGUGAAAUCCCCUGGGCUCAACCUAGGAACUGCAUUUGAAACUAAUCAGCUUGAGUCUCGUAGAGGGAGGUAGAAUUCCAGGUGUAGCGGUGAAAUGCGUAGAUAUCUGGAGGAAUACCAGAGGCGAAGGCGACCUCCUGGACGAAGACUGACACUAAGGUGCGAAAGCAUGGGUAGCAAACAGGAUUAGAUACCCUGGUAGUCCAUGCCGUAAACGAUGUCGACUUGGAGGCUGUGAGCUUGACUUAUGACUUCCGAAGCUAACGCGUUAAGUCGACCGCCUGGGGAGUACGGCCGCAAGGUUAAAACUCAAAUGAAUUGACGGGGGCCCGCACAAGCGGUGGAGCAUGUGGUUUAAUUCGAUGCAACGCGAAGAACCUUACCUGGUCUUGACAUCCAUAGAAUUUUUUAGAGAUAAAAAAGUGCCUUCGGGAACUAUGAGACAGGUGCUGCAUGGCUGUCGUCAGCUCGUGUUGUGAAAUGUUGGGUUAAGUCCCGCAACGAGCGCAACCCUUGUCCUUUGUUGCCAACGGUUAGGCCGGGAACUCAAAGGAGACUGCCGGUGAUAAACCGGAGGAAGGUGGGGAUGACGUCAAGUCAUCAUGGCCCUUAUGACCAGGGCUACACACGUGCUACAAUGGUAUAUACAAAGAGGAGCAACCUUGUAAAAGUUAGCAAAUCUUAUAAAAUAUAUCGUAGUCCGGAUUGGAGUCUGCAACUCGACUCCAUGAAGUCGGAAUCGCUAGUAAUCGUGGAUCAGAAUGUCACGGUGAAUACGUUCCCGGGCCUUGUACACACCGCCCGUCACACCAUGGGAGUGGGUUGCAAAAGAAGUAAGUUGCUUAACCCCUAAAAGGAGGGCGCUACCAC